This is a non-coding RNA of Pogona vitticeps (central bearded dragon), 343 nucleotides long. The record is from RefSeq and is a predicted model, not a curated record. NCBI's taxonomy places the organism in Eukaryota, Metazoa, Chordata, Lepidosauria, Squamata, Agamidae.
CCAGGGCUCGAGCCGAGGUCUUCAGCAUCGACUUCGACCUUGAUGCUGGUUUCGUUUUAUCGGACUUUUCCUUAGGAUGCAGAGAGGAAGUCACUGAAUUGGGAGCAGGCUGAGGUGGAAUUUGCCACUCUACCGGAGGACCUGGGGACCGUGUGGUCUCCAUAGAAGCCAAGGGAGGAUUGAGAGACUUCUCCCAAAGAAAGAAGACAUUAUCUAAAUGCUGAAAAUUUGAGCUUAAAUUUUAACCCACCAUGUCCUCAAUGAGAAAAAGGAACUCUGAUACUUAACCACCUAAACUCAAUAAGUAUUUGUUCUGACUCCUGUCCUCUGAAGAUGCCGGCCA